RNAcentral lists this ribosomal RNA (753 nucleotides) under uncultured prokaryote. RNAcentral describes it as "bacterial SSU rRNA". It matches the Rfam family "Bacterial small subunit ribosomal RNA", at positions 8 to 796 of the family's 1533-position model. The record is from RNAcentral.
AGAGUUUGAUCCUGGCUCAGAAUCAACGCUGGCGGCGCGCCUAACACAUGCAAGUCGAGCGAGAAAGGGGGCAACCCUGAGUAAAGCGGCGUACGGGUGAGUAACACGUAGGUAUCCACCUCUUAGUGGGGAAUAACUCGGGGAAACCUGAGCUAAUACCGCAUAAGUCCGAGAGGAGAAAGCAGCAAUGCGCUGAGAGAGGAGCCUGCGGCUGAUUAGCUAGAUGGCGGGGUAAUGGCCCACCAUGGCAACGAUCGGUAGCCGGCCUGAGAGGGCACACGGCCACACUGGCACUGAAACACGGGCCAGACUCCUACGGGAGGCAGCAGUGGGGAAUCUUGCACAAUGGAGGAAACUCUGAUGCAGCGACGCCGCGUGGACGACGAAGCCCUUCGGGGUGUAAAGUCCUUUCGACCGGAACGAUAAUGACGGUACCGGUGGAAGAAGCUGCGGCUAACUACGUGCCAGCAGCCGCGGUAAUACGUAGGCAGCAAGCGUUGUUCGGAAUUACUGGGCGUAAAGAGUUCGUAGGCGGUGCGGUAAGUUUGGUGUGAAAUCUCCCGGCUCAACUGGGAGGGUGCGCUAGAUACUGCCGUGCUCGAGUAUAGGAGAGGUAAGCGGAAUUCCUGGUGUAGCGGUGAAAUGCGUAGAUAUCAGGAGGAACACCUGUGGUGUAGACGGCUUACUGGACUAUAACUGACGCUGAGGAACGAAAGCGUGGGUAGCAAACAGGAUUAGAUACCCUGGUAGUCC